AUACUUACCUGGCAGGGGAAGAUACCAUGAUCAAAAAGGUGGUUUUCCCAGGAUGAGGCUGAUUCAUUGCACACUGAAUGGGUUGAUCCCUGUGAUGUCCUCAAAUGCAGGAUACUCAACUGCAUAAUUUAUGGUAGUGGGGGACUGCGUUCGCGCUGUCCCCUG
Molecule: small nuclear RNA, 165 nt
Organism: Protopterus annectens (West African lungfish)
Lineage: Eukaryota; Metazoa; Chordata; Ceratodontiformes; Protopteridae
Product: U1 spliceosomal RNA
Exons: 1
Source: RefSeq, a predicted model, not a curated record